AAGUCGUAACAAGGUUUCCGUAGGUGAACCUGCGGAAGGAUCAUUACAGGAGAGAUUGGGGGGGACUUGGUGUGUGGGGUGGGGGGUGCUUGGUUGGUGGGUGGGCAGAGCGCUUUGCUCAGAAGAGCACUGCUCUCUACUCUGCCUGCCUGACCGAGCAUCCUACCCACCCCACCCUACCGCCCACACUAGCACGGAGGCCGCUUGUCUAUACAGGCAGGCGGUCCCAUGUUUACGCUUGCUUGUUUGACAAAGUUAUACCCAUCCAAUCAACUUUUACAACUUUUAACAAUGGAUCUCUUGGCUCUU
RNAcentral lists this unclassified non-coding RNA (309 nucleotides) under fungal sp. RNAcentral's name for it is "partial internal transcribed spacer region". The stretch from base 1 to 46 matches the Rfam family "Eukaryotic small subunit ribosomal RNA", at positions 1786 to 1831 of the family's 1831-position model. The record is from RNAcentral. Lineage: Eukaryota; Fungi.